This 441-nucleotide ribosomal RNA is filed under the name uncultured bacterium. RNAcentral's name for it is "partial 16S ribosomal RNA". It matches the Rfam family "Bacterial small subunit ribosomal RNA", at positions 338 to 795 of the family's 1533-position model. The record is from RNAcentral.
CCUACGGGAGGCAGCAGUGGGGGAUAUUGCACAAUGGGGGGAACCCUGAUGCAGCGACGCCGCGUGGGUGAAGGAGUGCUUCGGCAUGUAAAGCCCUAUCGGCAGGGAAGAAGCAAGACGGUACCUGACUAAGAAGCCCCGGCUAACUACGUGCCAGCAGCCGCGGUAAUACGGAGGGGGCGAGCGUUAUCCGGAUUCACUGGGUGUAAAGGGAGCGUAGACGGCCAAGCAAGCCAGGGGUGAAAGCCCGGGGCCCAACCCCGGGACUGCCCUUGGAACUGCAUGGCUAGAGUGCGGGAGGGGCAGGCGGAAUUCCUGGUGUAGCGGUGAAAUGCGUAGAUAUCAGGAGGAACACCGACUGCGAAGGCGGCCUGCUGGACCGCGACUGACGUUGAGGCUCGAAAGCGUGGGGAGCGAACAGGAUUAGAUACCCCUGUAGUC